This 330-nucleotide long non-coding RNA is filed under the name Mytilus galloprovincialis (Mediterranean mussel). The record is from RNAcentral. Lineage: Eukaryota; Metazoa; Mollusca; Bivalvia; Mytilida; Mytilidae.
GGUUACGCCAUGAGAAAACAAAGAUCAAGAAAAUAGACAAGGGAGGACCCUCAGAUUAUCAGACAUUAAAAUGGUCCCAAAUUGUGGACCCUCCUAAUCCAGAUUUUCCCAAAGUGAAAUUUGACAAAGACGAUCCUUUUGGGUCAGGCAUGGACCCGGAAAUGAUGACCAAUAGCCUUAAAUCUUUUACCAAUAAACAACAGGCUGUUUCAUAAUUAUUGAUCUUUUAUAUGAAAAAAAAACAAUAUUUAAAAUUGAAAAAUUGUGUUUAGAACUAAUUUAUUGUUGUAUGAUAUGUCUCUUAAAUGCAUUUAUUUUUGCAGAAGGAAA